ACACAUUCUAUGGGGAAUAGUUUUUUUAGGCUAUGAGAAAUUGUAUAAUUCGUUCUUCAAUAUUAAUAUUGUUUAUAAUAGGGAAAGUAUCAAUGAUAUGAUUAAUAAAUGUGCCGAUUGCAGUUCAUAUGUAUCAUGCACUAUUAGGAAUUAUGGCCAGCUAAUAGAAUUCGACGAUGAUACCGACAAGAUUAAGAGAUGUGACUCAAAAGUAACUACUGUUAAUGCAUUACAGAAAUGUGUGCCAAGGGUUUAUCGUAUACAUGAGCUAUUGGAGGGUUUUAUCUGCUUCUGGACGCCACAGAUGGGAUGUACAAUUGUCAUUGGCAAGCGCCAACAGCAAGGAAAUUACACUGAAAACUAUUGUGAACAAUGUAUGUUACAUUGCCCCUGUUCUGAAGGAAGUAGAGUGCAUAUAGGACUUACGGCACGAACAGCUAUAUGCAUUGGAUUGAUCUUGGGACUAAUGUGGGCACUAUAAAAUGUAAUUCCUUAGAUUUUUAACUAAUUGUGCAACACUGCAAAUA
RNAcentral lists this unclassified non-coding RNA (527 nucleotides) under Drosophila virilis. Its description in RNAcentral is "GJ17878". The record is from RNAcentral. Lineage: Eukaryota; Metazoa; Arthropoda; Insecta; Diptera; Drosophilidae.